This 465-nucleotide ribosomal RNA is filed under the name Vreelandella stevensii. RNAcentral's name for it is "partial 16S ribosomal RNA". It matches the Rfam family "Bacterial small subunit ribosomal RNA", at positions 338 to 795 of the family's 1533-position model. Lineage: Bacteria; Pseudomonadati; Pseudomonadota; Gammaproteobacteria; Oceanospirillales; Halomonadaceae. The record is from RNAcentral.
CCUACGGGCGGCUGCAGUGGGGAAUAUUGGACAAUGGGGGGAACCCUGAUCCAGCCAUGCCGCGUGUGUGAAGAAGGCCCUCGGGUUGUAAAGCACUUUCAGUGAGGAAGAACGCCUGGUGGUUAAUACCCAUCAGGAAAGACAUCACUCACAGAAGAAGCACCGGCUAACUCCGUGCCAGCAGCCGCGGUAAUACGGAGGGUGCGAGCGUUAAUCGGAAUUACUGGGCGUAAAGCGCGCGUAGGUGGCUUGAUAAGCCGGUUGUGAAAGCCCCGGGCUCAACCUGGGAACGGCAUCCGGAACUGUCAAGCUAGAGUGCAGGAGAGGAAGGUAGAAUUCCCGGUGUAGCGGUGAAAUGCGUAGAGAUAGGGAGGAAUACCAGUGGCGAAGGCGGCCUUCUGGACUGACACUGACACUGAGGUGCGAAAGCGUGGGUAGCAAACAGGAUUAGAUACCCUGGUAGUC